GUUUUAGUAGCUUAAUUUAAAGUGCCAAAUUCUUACUUUGGUGAUGUUUGUAUAACUUAGGGCA
Molecule: transfer RNA, 64 nt
Filed under: Gyrocotyle urna
Lineage: Eukaryota; Metazoa; Platyhelminthes; Cestoda; Gyrocotylidea; Gyrocotylidae
Description: tRNA-Lys
Source: RNAcentral